UACGUAGGUGGCAAGCGUUAUCCGGAAUUAUUGGGCGUAAAGAGCGCGCAGGUGGUUGAUUAAGUCUGAUGUGUAAAGCCCACGGCUUAAACCGUGGAGGGUCAAUUGGAAACUGGUCGACUUGAGUGCAGAAGAGGGAAGUGGAAUUCCAUGUGUAGCGGUGAAAUGCGUAGAGAUAUGGAGGAACACCAGUGGCGAAGGCGGCUUCCUGGUCUGUAACUGACACUGAGGCGCGAAAAGCGUGGGGAGCAAACAGGAUUAGAUA
This 265-nucleotide ribosomal RNA is filed under the name uncultured prokaryote. RNAcentral describes it as "partial 16S ribosomal RNA". It matches the Rfam family "Bacterial small subunit ribosomal RNA", at positions 524 to 784 of the family's 1533-position model. The record is from RNAcentral.